UUUCCGUAGGUGAACCUGCGGAAGGAUCAUUGAUGGGGCUGGGGAGCCAAUACCUAUUCAAACCUUUGUGAACCGGGUCGUUCUCGACCAAGUGAGGCUUGCCUUGCGCUUUUACACCCUUAUUAGUCCAGUCUAGAAAGAAAAAAGUUAUACAACUUUCAACAAUGGAUCUCUUGGCUCUCGCAUCGAUGAAGAACGCAGC
Molecule: unclassified non-coding RNA, 202 nt
Filed under: uncultured fungus
Lineage: Eukaryota; Fungi
Description: sequence contains ITS1, 5.8S rRNA gene
Rfam family: 5.8S ribosomal RNA (bases 154-202)
Source: RNAcentral